Molecule: long non-coding RNA, 701 nt
Filed under: Nicotiana benthamiana
Lineage: Eukaryota; Viridiplantae; Streptophyta; Magnoliopsida; Solanales; Solanaceae
Description: long non-coding RNA (NBEN_LNC002495)
Source: RNAcentral
UAAUGAUAGAGAAACUCUCUCACUCGCGAAAAAUAUAUGCGAGUCCAUAAGACACGGAAUUCAUCAAAUAUUUCACAAUUUCCGACGUAAGAGAUUCGAUCAGUAUUUUUAUUCUAGUCUCAAUCCAGUCAUAAAUUUAAGGAAUGACACAAACAAGAUAGAUUAACAUAGCACAUUUAAAGCAUGUUGUGUAUCUAAGUCUACCUAGACAUAAACAUGAAUUCACCUACGUAUAGACUUUCGUCACCUCCUGCGUACGUAGCACCCAAAACGAGUAGCACACAACAAUUAGCACACCUACGGGGAUAAUUUGCUUUCACAAGAUUAGGCAAGAAACUUGCCUCGUUUCCAAGCUCACUACUUAUCGCUCCAACCUCACUAAUUGCCUCAAAUCAAUGUUGAGCAAUCCGAAACUAGCCAAAGGUCAUGCAAACCAAUCAAUAUGCUCAAAAGUUCAUAAUUUAUCUAUUAGAGUAACUUUCCAACCCCAUUCGGAAAGUCAACAAAAGUCAAUCCCGGGCCUAGGUGCUCGGAUUUCGGAAAUUUCUGAAGAUAAACAUUGCUCCUUACAUUACGAACUCAAAUAUAUAAUUUAUUCUCAAAUCUUUAAUCAAUUUUAUAGUCAAAGCCCAUUUUUACUAAACCCUAGGUUCUUCAACAAAAAUCCUAAAAUUCCACAAUUUCUAUGUUAAAAUCUACCC